UAAAACAACUAUACAACAAAAUAAAACUGCUUAUAAAUAUAUAAUAGUUACUUCAAUAAUACAAAACGUUCUUCUACGUGGUUUACUAUGCAUAUAGUAUAAAUAUUUAUAUAAAGGUAGAUAUGACGACAGUCGUUAAAACUGCGUUUGUACUGCGAUAUGUUUGACGACGGUCGCGAAAACUGCCAACAGUCGUCAAAACUGCCUAGUUAUACUUGAGAACGUUGUCAAAACUGCCUUUGGAUAAAUAUAUAUUAUAUUAUAUUAUAUGUAUACAUAUAUGUAUACUCUGCACAUAUGACAGGAAGCUUAAUUUUACAUAUAUCAUUAAUUUAAUAUCUUAUUAGAGAUAUUUAGUUCUAAACAUAUUUAAAAGUUUACGAGAUUUUGGUCUUUUCUUCAUUUCGCAAUAGCAUUGGUGCAUCCGUUACCCUAGGAAUAAUGCAAUGUUAAAUCUAUGCAUGCGUAUAUUUACCAGUGCUGAAUAUGACUAGAGUGUAACUAGAGUAUGAUAUAAUAUUUUUAAAUAUCAUGUCUCCUUACCUUUUUGUCCUUUCAAUCUAAGGAAAGACUGAAGUGUGACGAUGACAAUUAUACUGAUAAGUUUGCUGUAGAAACAAGGUUUAAAUGUCACAUUCUCUAUUAA
Long non-coding RNA from Nylanderia fulva, 646 nucleotides. RefSeq lists it as uncharacterized. The record is from RefSeq and is a predicted model, not a curated record. NCBI's taxonomy places the organism in Eukaryota, Metazoa, Arthropoda, Insecta, Hymenoptera, Formicidae.